Molecule: ribosomal RNA, 768 nt
Filed under: Pimelia thomsoni
Lineage: Eukaryota; Metazoa; Arthropoda; Insecta; Coleoptera; Tenebrionidae
Description: SSU rRNA
Rfam family: Eukaryotic small subunit ribosomal RNA
Source: RNAcentral
GUGACGAAAAAUAACGAUACGGGACUCAUCCGAGGCCCCGUAAUCGGAAUGAGUACACUCUAAACCCUUUAACGAGGAUCAAUUGGAGGGCAAGUCUGGUGCCAGCAGCCGCGGUAAUUCCAGCUCCAAUAGCGUAUAUUAAAGUUGUUGCGGUUAAAAAGCUCGUAGUCGAAUCUGUGUCCCGCGCCGCCGGUUCAUCGUUCGCGGUGUUAACUGGCGUGUCGCGGGACGUCCUGCCGGUGGGCUUAGCUCGCGAGGGCGGCCCAACUCAAUCCCGCCGCGGUGCUCUUCAUUGAGUGUCGAGGUGGGCCGGCACGUUUACUUUGAACAAAUUAGAGUGCUUAAAGCAGGCUAAAACUUCGCCUGAAUACUGUGUGCAUGGAAUAAUGGAAUAGGACCUCGGUUCUAUUUUGUUGGUUUUCGGAACCCCGAGGUAAUGAUUAAUAGGAACGGAUGGGGGCAUUCGUAUUGCGACGUUAGAGGUGAAAUUCUUGGAUCGUCGCAAGACGGACAGAAGCGAAAGCAUUUGCCAAAAACGCUUUCAUUGAUCAAGAACGAAAGUUAGAGGUUCGAAGGCGAUCAGAUACCGCCCUAGUUCUAACCAUAAACGAUGCCAGCUAGCGAUCCGCCGACGUUCCUCCGAUGACUCGGCGGGCAGCUUCCGGGAAACCAAAGCUUUUGGGUUCCGGGGGAAGUAUGGUUGCAAAGCUGAAACUUAAAGGAAUUGACGGAAGGGCACCACCAGGAGUGGAGCCUGCGGCUUAAUUU